RNAcentral lists this ribosomal RNA (503 nucleotides) under uncultured bacterium. RNAcentral describes it as "partial 16S ribosomal RNA". It matches the Rfam family "Bacterial small subunit ribosomal RNA", at positions 29 to 523 of the family's 1533-position model. The record is from RNAcentral.
AUUGAACGCUGGCGGCAGGCCUAACACAUGCAAGUCGGACGGUAGCACAGAGAGCUUGCUCUCGGGUGACGAGUGGCGGACGGGUGAGUAAUGUCUGGGGAUCUGCCCGAUAGAGGGGGAUAACCACUGGAAACGGUGGCUAAUACCGCAUAACGUCGCAAGACCAAAGAGGGGGACCUUCGGGCCUCUCACUAUCGGAUGAACCCAGAUGGGAUUAGCUAGUAGGCGGGGUAACGGCCCACCUAGGCGACGAUCCCUGGCUGGUCUGAGAGGAUGACCAGCCACACUGGAACUGAGACACGGUCCAGACUCCUACGGGAGGCAGCAGUGGGAAUAUUGCACAAUGGGCGCAAGCCUGAUGCAGCCAUGCCGCGUGUAUGAAGAAGGCCUUCGGGUUGUAAAGUACUUUCAGCGGGGAGGAAGGCGAUGUGGUUAAUAACCGCGUCGAUUGACGUUACCCGCAGAAGAAGCACCGGCUAACUCCGUGCCAGCCGCCGCCGUAA